UGAGACUUAUGCAGAGAUGGUUUGGUGCCUUCGGGAACUCUGAGACAGGUGCUGCAUGGCUGUCGUCAGCUCGUGUUGUGAAAUGUUGGGUUAAGUCCCGCAACGAGCGCAACCCUUAUCCUUUGUUGCCAGCGGUUCGGCCGGGAACUCAAAGGAGACUGCCAGUGAUAAACUGGAGGAAGGUGGGGAUGACGUCAAGUCAUCAUGGCCCUUACGAGUAGGGCUACACACGUGCUACAAUGGCGCAUACAAAGAGAAGCGACCUCGCGAGAGCAAGCGGACCUCAUAAAGUGCGUCGUAGUCCGGAUUGGAGUCUGCAACUCGACUCCAUGAAGUCGGAAUCGCUAGUAAUCGUAGAUCAGAAUGCUACGGUGAAUACGUUCCCGGGUCUUGUACACACCGA
Molecule: ribosomal RNA, 403 nt
Filed under: Enterobacter sp. COS226
Lineage: Bacteria; Pseudomonadati; Pseudomonadota; Gammaproteobacteria; Enterobacterales; Enterobacteriaceae
Description: bacterial SSU rRNA
Rfam family: Bacterial small subunit ribosomal RNA
Source: RNAcentral